GACGAACGCUGGCGGCGCGCCUAACACAUGCAAGUCGAACGAGCAAAGAGGAGCUUGCUUCUCUGAGCGAGUGGCGAACGGGUGAGUAACGCGUGAGGAACCUGCCUCAAAGAGGGGGACAACAGUUGGAAACGACUGCUAAUACCGCAUAAGCGCACGGUAUCGCAUGAUACAGUGUGAAAAACUCCGGGUGGUGUGAGAUGGACCCGCGUCUGAUUAGCUAGUUGGCAGGGCAGCGGCCUACCAAGGCGACGAUCAGUAGCCGACCUGAGAGGUNACCGGCACAUUGGGACUGAGACA
This 300-nucleotide ribosomal RNA is filed under the name uncultured bacterium. Its description in RNAcentral is "bacterial SSU rRNA". It matches the Rfam family "Bacterial small subunit ribosomal RNA", at positions 28 to 326 of the family's 1533-position model. The record is from RNAcentral.